This is a long non-coding RNA of Varroa destructor (honeybee mite), 1303 nucleotides long. RefSeq lists it as uncharacterized. The record is from RefSeq and is a predicted model, not a curated record. NCBI's taxonomy places the organism in Eukaryota, Metazoa, Arthropoda, Arachnida, Mesostigmata, Varroidae.
CAGAAGUUAGAAUCAUCCGCUGUAGGUGCAAUAGACCAAGCCUAGUCUACCUUUUACCAUAACCUGUCGACCCAGGAGAUGUGUUGUGGUGGAACUGAAGCGUGGAGUCUUGCGUGACGCCAGUCUAUUCAAACCGGGUCAUUUCACGAGUGAGGCACUCCGGCUGCGGCAGAACAGUCAGCUGGUCAUUAAUGGACGGCGGCAACGGAAGUCUACUGGUGGCAAUUAGUCGAAGUCUUCGACUCGGAUCGUGAAGCUGUUUCUCAAGCCGCCAGCGCGUCAACCGGCCCGAUUUGCGCGAUUGCUGGGCGCUGAACAUAGCAUCACCACGAGUAAAGUCAAUUGAAGGUUACUUUAGUUCGAUACGAGCUAUUGGCUGGUAACGAGGGGCCUGCUAGGUUUUCAGAUACAUAAAACUAAAACUGGGUUAUCGAGAAAGCAAUCGGGGUUUUUCAGGACCGUCAAGAAAAAGAGUAAGAAUUAUUGAGGCAAAUAAAGGAAAAGCAACGUAGUUUUAUCCAGUAAAACGAAAACCAUGACUGCAGAGUACCACGUUUGGAGCUAGAGUGGCACCACUGUGUAGCACACGUACGUGGUGCAACUACAGUGGCUAGAUCUACUCCGGUGAUAGUUUUCUUGCUCAUACGAAGUCGGCACAUAGUAUAAAUUGCGUAUAUGUGAUGUUUUACGCUUGAGGUCAGAACCUGUAGUAAAGGACUCAUAUGAAAAAUAGUUCUAACGGCAAGAUCUGGAUCUGGUCAUCCAUGGGCUGGGCAACAAGCCUUGAAAAAUCGAAGUUCAGUUAUUAUUUCAAGUUCAUUUCUAAAUAGCUGAUAUGCUGUAUAUUACACCUAGAUAAUGUAUACCAACUCCGGACUUCUCUAAACAGAAAUGACGCAUUUGAUUCUUGAAGUAUAUUUUGCCCUCGUUUGCCCCACUUGGCUAAACCUUUUUCAGAAGAUGUCACCUAAGAUCGACCAAUGGCCAAACCAGUGAUUUCCUCUGGAUUUUUCUCAUAUAUGUUCUUUUCCUUGUUGUCCUUCCUCAUUGAGGUUAAAUUUCCUUUCCUUCCACUGAAAUCAUUUCUUCCUCUGAUGCAAUAACAGUAGCUUUAAACUGAAUAAGCUAACAAAAAUCGAUGCCGUGUUCACCUGAUUGUUUCUCAAGAAAAUACAUAUGGUUUGUUGAGAAAGUAUUGACUGUGAAGCCAACAUUGAAGCAAACAUUUUUCAUAUAUGAAAAUAACAAUAAUCACUAAUAAAAAUGAUUAAUGAUCCGCUGCCAUUUCUUCGACAUUACCUUA